GUCGAGAAUUUUUCACAAUGGGCGCAAGCCUGAUGGAGCGACGCCGCGUGGGGGAUGAAUGGCUUCGGCCCGUAAACCCCUGUCAUUCGCGAGCAAACCUUGUUAUUUAAAAGAUGACGAGCUGAUAGUAGCGGAAGAGGAAGGGACGGCUAACUCUGUGCCAGCAGCCGCGGUAAUACAGAGGUCCCAAGCGUUGUUCGGAUUCACUGGGCGUAAAGGGUGCGUAGGUGGUGAGGUAAGUCGGAUGUGAAAUCUCGGAGCUCAACUCCGAAAUGGCAUUGGAAACUACCUUGCUCGAGGAUUGGAGGGGGGACUGGAAUUCUCGGUGUAGCAGUGAAAUGCGUAGAUAUCGAGAGGAACACCAGUGGCGAAGGCGAGUCCCUGGACAACUCCUGACACUGAGGCACGAAAGCUAGGGGAGCAAACAGGAUUAGAAACCCCUGUAGUCC
RNAcentral lists this ribosomal RNA (449 nucleotides) under uncultured bacterium. RNAcentral's name for it is "bacterial SSU rRNA". It matches the Rfam family "Bacterial small subunit ribosomal RNA", at positions 354 to 796 of the family's 1533-position model. The record is from RNAcentral.